Molecule: long non-coding RNA, 1432 nt
Filed under: Coturnix japonica (Japanese quail)
Lineage: Eukaryota; Metazoa; Chordata; Aves; Galliformes; Phasianidae
Description: lncRNA (ENSCJPG00005005990.1)
Source: RNAcentral
UCAUACUGCAUUUUACUCAGCUACACGCAACUCUGCUGGGAAGCUUCAUUAAUGCAAUUGAAGGCCAUUGUGAUCCUUCAAGAAUGGUAUUACAGAAACGCAGGAUUAUAUCACCUCUAAUUCUCAUUGUUCCUGAAGAAUAAUCAGUAUAGAAUUUCAACUGAAAAUGCCUGAAUAUAUCUUUUGCUAGAUAUGUGCUGAGCCAUAAGGGUUGUCUCUCUGUAAAAUGCAGUGUGAACAUAGGGAAUGUGAUUUGGGUCUUUGCCUUGUUUUUGGGACAGAAUAAUUCAUUGUGGCUACUUGUCUUUCAUUCAUCCUGCUUGGCAAGUGUGUUGGGGCAAGAGGAGGAAGGAAAUACUCUCCUUGUCCCAGUUUGCCAGAGGAGGAAGAAUAAUGGGUAUCUCCCUCUCUCCUCCCUUUCAUCAGGAGCUGCCCACAGAGCAAUCAUGUUGGAAGUGAAAAAAGAGGAAGAUACAUUUCGUUUCCUCCUCAUAUUUGUCUUCCCCUUAUCUUCAUCCAGAGAUGGUAUCUUUGGUCCUCUUGUCAGAAAAAUCAAAACGGGUUACUGUUUCGCAGUCCAGCCUAACAAGAUGGAACUCCCAUUGGUAUCCUGCAAAUAUCCUUCUGUUGUCACUGUAUAUUUAUUAUUCUAUGUAGUUUGUGGUGUUCUCUCUUUAUCUUCUUAUUUUUUAAUUCCAGAGAUGUUAAAAUAAAUAUGACUUUGUGAUUUUUGGACCAUGAAAACGAGAGGCCAGGAGUCCUUGUGGAAAAUGGUGUUUAGAAACUAUAUCUUUGUCACAUGAUCCCUAAAGACACAAGAGUCACAAAAGUUGAGGAAAAAGUGUAUUAGGCAUAAUCCAGCAUUCUUCUCUACCUGCUUCAUGCAUCGAACACAGGAUCAAAUGAAGAUCUCUAUGUACUUGCGGUGUAUCUUGUACCAGCAUGGUACAAAAUGAAGUGGGGAAAGAAAUUGCUAAUCAAAUAGUUACCUUUCUUGGUGAAGUAGCCAUGGGAAGAGUAGAGCAGGAAUGGUCACACCAGCUCAGAGAGGAAAAUAAUGCAUGGCAAGGGAAAGGGUUAAUUUGUCUUCCAGAUUCCCUUUGCUCCAGCUCAGUACUCCAAGUGUAUCAGAACCAGAGCAUUCUUGGAGCAGUUUUCAGGUAAGAGGAUGGCCCUGGAACUAUAUAAGCAGCAUGGAUUAGGCCUUCUUGUUUUGUACUGUAAUAACAUUCAAGGAUACAGCACAAAGAGAAAAAGUGAUGGCUUUUAUAUGACGCAUAGUUGAUCCCAGGUGAAAGAGGUAUUAGACAAGAAAAUGUCUGCAACUAGGAAAGGGCAUCUGAAGAACAUUAUCAGCAUUUACUGACGGUGGUACUAGCAGGGGAAAAUGAAGGAGAAAACUGGAUGGUGAAUAAAGAGAUUUCUUUAAACA